GUGGGAGGGGCUUGGCCCGAGCUGGGAGGCUGGGUCUGGACUGUCCUGGGCACCCACUGAGCGCAUCUCUCACCCCUGAGAGAGGAUCAGGAGAAGAGGCCUUGGGACCAUGAGCCCGUGAAGCCAAAGCCCUUGACCUACUGGAAGGAUGUCCUUCUGCUGGAGGGUGUGACCUUGACCCAGGAUUCCAGGCAGCUGAAUGGGUCGGAGCGGGCGGUGUUGGAUGGGCUGCUCACCCCAGCCGAGUGUGGGGUGCUGCUGCAGCUGGCUAAGGAUGCAGCUGGGGCUGGAGCCAGGUCUGGCUAUCGUGGUCGCCGCUCCCCUCACACCCCCCAUGAACGCUUCGAGGGGCUCACAGUGCUUAAGGCUGCGCAGCUGGCCCGGGCUGGGACAGUGGGCAGUCAGGGUGCUAAGCUGCUUCUGGAGGUGAGCGAGCGGGUGCGGACCUUGACCCAGGCCUACUUCUCCCCGGAACGGCCCCUGCAUCUG
Molecule: small RNA, 489 nt
Filed under: Pan troglodytes (chimpanzee)
Lineage: Eukaryota; Metazoa; Chordata; Mammalia; Primates; Hominidae
Description: retained intron
Source: RNAcentral